This 2412-nucleotide long non-coding RNA is filed under the name Helianthus annuus (common sunflower). RNAcentral describes it as "hypothetical non coding rna". Lineage: Eukaryota; Viridiplantae; Streptophyta; Magnoliopsida; Asterales; Asteraceae. The record is from RNAcentral.
GAAACCCAAAAUCUAAGUAUCAGCUCCUAACCUCCAAUUCCCUUUCACACAACACAGCCAUCCACCAUCUCCAUCUCUCAUCAGCCCCACAUACCCCACCAUCUCCUCCUCUCACACGACACAACCACCACCACUCCCGUCGCGCACCUCCAUCCUUCGCCCUACUUCUCCACCGUACACAUCAUCUCUGCCGGUGCACCCUCUCCAACCUGAAUCCCCAUCAUCGCCAGACCUGAACCUCAUCCCCAUCUGUCACCGCACGACACCCUUCUUCAGUCUCCGCCGCACCGACUCGCUCCACUUCGUCGUUCAUCGCCACCACCUACCUCAUCGUCUCCAUCGCUGUCGGUCGUCUUCAAUCUAUGCCACAUCGCCUCCAACCAACCGCCACUCGUCGCCGGUCUCCGACAUCAGAGGAAAUCGGUUUCAAUGGUGAUGCUCUUGAUGAUUGUUGACAUAUGAGUGAAACGAAACGAACAACCGCAACCGCCUUAGUAGAUUCCUUACACACUCAUCUCCGAGCCUCGAGGACGAUGCUACAUCUUAAGCUUGGGGAGAUUAGAGGUAAUUUUUAUGUUUUCAUCAUAGCAUGCAUUACUUAGUUUGUAAAUAGUUGCAUAUAGUUGCAUUUUUUCAUGUUCAUUGCAUUUAGGGUGUAUAUACAUGCAUAAAAAAAAUUCUUAAAAAAAAAAAAAAAAAAAAAAAAACCGUUUCUAUUCCGUUGAGAAUGAUUUGUGAAAAAAUGAGAUAUGAUAUGAUUUCUGGCAUGUCAAAGCUUAUGCGUGAAAUGGUAACUUUGGGGAAGAAAACAUAGAUAAUUCGGGAUAUGUUGAUAGGCUCGGCCCUAACUUAGGAACGCCAAUGUUGUAUGCAAUAACCUUAAUUGAAUAUAUGUGUUUAGUUUCCCAUCUUGAUGCUUGUGGUUAAAAAUUGAUCCCGACCAAAAAUCGGUUGAGUUGCAUAUCCUCUAUCACACACCAUAUUCCCCAUAUCAUGACACCUCCGUAAUUUCAUUGAAAAAAAAUAAAGAGGUGAAAAAUUGACCUCAAAGAGGUGAAAAAUUGACCUCAUAGGUUAUUUUAGUAAGAAAAAAAAAAGAGAAAAAAGAAGGGGUAAAAGAGCACAAUGUAUGCCAAAAAUUUGAAAAAAAAGAAGUCGAAAUAAAGAAAAAUAUAUAUUUGAGCAAAUUAGGGAGAAAAGUCCCGACCCCUUGAAAAACGGAAAAAAGAUAAUAACUAUCGUGUCAUGGUUUGGGUGCAUGGUCGCAUCAAGUGUGGUUUUGGAUAUCUUCAAAAAGUCGUGAGGUUGGGUAGAUGUUGCCAUAGGUGUUGGGCGUGGGGACGAUUGAACCAUGUUGGUAAGUUUGUAUAUUAUUAAGCAGAAAGCAUCUGGUUGUGAUUAAGCGGGUUUGAGUUUAAAGGGACACAAAAUAUCAACAAUCGCGGUUACACGUGUAAGUAUUUCCCGGGUUCGAAUGAAUGUAAUAGGAGUUGAUAUUGUUAGAUAUGAUCUCAUUACAAGUUUAUUUUCCGGAAUAAAAGAAGCGGGUUGAAAAAAAAAAAAUAGUAAGCAUGCAUAUGUGUUUUAUUUUUCGUGUUUAUUUCUCGGUUUAUUCUUAUUCUUGACUUCCUUGAGGACAAGGAAAGGUUUAAGCUUGGGGAGAUUUGUUAGUUGCAUUUUUAGGCACGUUUUAUAGCAUAUUAAUAUUAAAAAUUCACCACAUAUCAUGCAUAUUUCGUAGUAAUACCUCAUUAUUUUGAAAAAAACACUUGUUUUUGUGGAACGGAAUCUACUUUGGACGUUUUAAUGAUUUUGUAGGCAUGGAGCAGUUGUAAGGAAUGGCAAGAGAUAGUGAAAAGGCUCGUAAAAACUCAAGAAAUAAAUAAAGUAUGGGCUCAAGUAAAAGUGGAUAGCAUGGAUUUUUAGUUGGAUGAUUUACAAGGGCCUGAUCAUUGCAAGAAUAAAAAGAAGUUUAUUGGAGAUGACAUUGGGCUGAAAUAAACUUCCUAAGUUUGGGCCAAUUGAUGACACCGAUGGGCUGCACAUUGAGUCAUGGACUAGAAAAAAAAUAACAAUCAUCACGAAAAAAGGGGGAUUGGUUUUUGGACGACUGAAAGUGGACAAAGAAAAGAAGGGAAUCCAUCUUUUUGUGGGGGGCUGGCAUUCGAAAUCAAGAAGAAGAAAAAAAAUGGCAUUUUCUCUUUGGUGAUUUUUUUUCUCUAGAACAAUUUGUUUUCGUAAGUUUUAAAUUGUGGUAUGCUUUAUUUCGUAUUUGUAUUGAUUGUUCUAGCUAUCAUGUCCGGCUAGAACCUUAUAGUUUCGACAUCGGGGUUUAUUUUCUUUGAUUUGGUUCAUAGAUUUAUGUGAAACGGUUAUGUUAGAUUCAAUUAUUUUAGUGGUUUGUUUGUGUGU